RNAcentral lists this ribosomal RNA (449 nucleotides) under uncultured bacterium. RNAcentral's name for it is "partial 16S ribosomal RNA". It matches the Rfam family "Bacterial small subunit ribosomal RNA", at positions 29 to 523 of the family's 1533-position model. The record is from RNAcentral.
AAUGAACGCUGGCGGCAUGCCUAACACAUGCAAGUCGAACGAAGGCAUCGGCCUUAGUGGCGCACGGGUGCGUAACGCGUGGGAAUCUGCCCUCAGGUUCGGACUAACAGCGAGAAAUUGCUGCUAAUACCGGAUGAUAUCGCGAGAUCAAAGAUUUAUCGCCUGAGGAUGAGCCCGCGUAGGAUUAGCUAGUUGGUGUGGUAAAGGCGCACCAAGGCGACGAUCAUUAGCUGGUCUGAGAGGAUGAUCAGCCACACUGGGACUGAGACACGGCCCAGACUCCUACGGGAGGCAGCAGUGGGGAAUAUUGGACAAUGGGCGAAAGCCUGAUCCAGCAAUGCCGCGUGAGUGAUGAAGGCCUUAGGGUUGUAAAGCUCUUUUACCCGGGAUGAUAAUGACAGUACCGGGAGAAUAAGCUCCGGCUAACCCCGUGCCAGCCGCCGCCGUAA